RNAcentral lists this ribosomal RNA (497 nucleotides) under uncultured bacterium. RNAcentral's name for it is "partial 16S ribosomal RNA". It matches the Rfam family "Bacterial small subunit ribosomal RNA", at positions 28 to 507 of the family's 1533-position model. The record is from RNAcentral.
GACGAACGCUGGCGGCGUGCCUAAUACAUGCAAGUAGAACGCUGAAGCGAGGAGCUUGCUCUUCUUGGAUGAGUUGCGAACGGGUGAGUAACGCGUAGGUAACCUGCCUGGUAGCGGGGGAUAACUAUUGGAAACGAUAGCUAAUACCGCAUAAAAUUGAUUAUUGCAUGAUAAUUAAUUGAAAGAUGCAACUGCAUCACUACCAGAUGGACCUGCGUUGUAUUAGCUAGUUGGUGAGGUAACGGCUCACCAAGGCGACGAUACAUAGCCGACCUGAGAGGGUGAUCGGCCACACUGGGACUGAGACACGGCCCAGACUCCUACGGGAGGCAGCAGUAGGGAAUCUUCGGCAAUGGGGGGAACCCUGACCGAGCAACGCCGCGUGAGUGAAGAAGGUUUUCGGAUCGUAAAGCUCUGUUGUAAGAGAAGAACGGGUGUGAGAGUGGAAAGUUCACACUGUGACGGUAUCUGACCAGAAAGGGACGGCUAACUACGUG